Molecule: ribosomal RNA, 1132 nt
Filed under: Escherichia coli
Lineage: Bacteria; Pseudomonadati; Pseudomonadota; Gammaproteobacteria; Enterobacterales; Enterobacteriaceae
Description: partial 23S ribosomal RNA
Rfam family: Bacterial large subunit ribosomal RNA
Source: RNAcentral
AUAAUGGGUCAGCGACUUAUAUUCUGUAGCAAGGUUAACCGAAUAGGGGAGCCGAAGGGAAACCGAGUCUUAACUGGGCGUUAAGUUGCAGGGUAUAGACCCGAAACCCGGUGAUCUAGCCAUGGGCAGGUUGAAGGUUGGGUAACACUAACUGGAGGACCGAACCGACUAAUGUUGAAAAAUUAGCGGAUGACUUGUGGCUGGGGGUGAAAGGCCAAUCAAACCGGGAGAUAGCUGGUUCUCCCCGAAAGCUAUUUAGGUAGCGCCUCGUGAAUUCAUCUCCGGGGGUAGAGCACUGUUUCGGCAAGGGGGUCAUCCCGACUUACCAACCCGAUGCAAACUGCGAAUACCGGAGAAUGUUAUCACGGGAGACACACGGCGGGUGCUAACGUCCGUCGUGAAGAGGGAAACAACCCAGACCGCCAGCUAAGGUCCCAAAGUCAUGGUUAAGUGGGAAACGAUGUGGGAAGGCCCAGACAGCCAGGAUGUUGGCUUAGAAGCAGCCAUCAUUUAAAGAAAGCGUAAUAGCUCACUGGUCGAGUCGGCCUGCGCGGAAGAUGUAACGGGGCUAAACCAUGCACCGAAGCUGCGGCAGCGACGCUUAUGCGUUGUUGGGUAGGGGAGCGUUCUGUAAGCCUGCGAAGGUGUGCUGUGAGGCAUGCUGGAGGUAUCAGAAGUGCGAAUGCUGACAUAAGUAACGAUAAAGCGGGUGAAAAGCCCGCUCGCCGGAAGACCAAGGGUUCCUGUCCAACGUUAAUCGGGGCAGGGUGAGUCGACCCCUAAGGCGAGGCCGAAAGGCGUAGUCGAUGGGAAACAGGUUAAUAUUCCUGUACUUGGUGUUACUGCGAAGGGGGGACGGAGAAGGCUAUGUUGGCCGGGCGACGGUUGUCCCGGUUUAAGCGUGUAGGCUGGUUUUCCAGGCAAAUCCGGAAAACUAAGGCUGAGGCGUGAUGACGAGGCACUACGGUGCUGAAGCAACAAAUGCCCUGCUUCCAGGAAAAGCCUCUAAGCAUCAGGUAACAUCAAAUCGUACCCCAAACCGACACAGGUGGUCAGGUAGAGAAUACCAAGGCGCUUGAGAGAACUCGGGUGAAGGAACUAGGCAAAAUGGUGCCGUAACUUCGGGAGAAGG